This 492-nucleotide ribosomal RNA is filed under the name uncultured bacterium. RNAcentral describes it as "partial 16S ribosomal RNA". It matches the Rfam family "Bacterial small subunit ribosomal RNA", at positions 29 to 507 of the family's 1533-position model. The record is from RNAcentral.
AGUGAACGCUGGCGGUAGGCCUAACACAUGCAAGUCGAACGGCAGCACAGUAAGAGCUUGCUCUUACGGGUGGCGAGUGGCGGACGGGUGCGGAAUACAUCGGAAUCUACUUUUUCGUGGGGGAUAACGUAGGGAAACUUACGCUAAUACCGCAUACGACCUACGGGUGAAAGCAGGGGAUCUUCGGACCUUGCGCGAUUGAAUGAGCCGAUGUCGGAUUAGCUAGUUGGCGGGGUAAAGGCCCACCAAGGCGACGAUCCGUAGCUGGUCUGAGAGGAUGAUCAGCCACACUGGAACUGAGACACGGUCCAGACUCCUACGGGAGGCAGCAGUGGGGAAUAUUGGACAAUGGGCGCAAGCCUGAUCCAGCCAUACCGCGUGUGUGAAGAAGGCCUUCGGGUUGUAAAGCCCUUUUGUUGGGAAAGAAAAGCAGCAGGUUAAUACCCCGCUGUUCUGACGGUACCCAAAGAAUAAGCACCGGCUAACUUCGUG